UAGCUCUCUCGGAUAGGCUGUAACCUCUGUAGUACCCAGCCAAUGGGGAAACAGGGGAGGGACUUGCACAUUAGGAAUAGGAGAUUUAAAGAUCGCCAUGUUCUUCCUCCCGCACGCCAGCCCACCACGUUUCUGGCUGUGCACCCUAUCUUGCAAGAUCAUAAGUAAAUUCUUUUCUCCUCCAGAACCGAGUGAGUGUUUAUUCCCUUACAGGUACCGCUUUAUUUCCAACAACGGGGCCCAAGGAGACAUGUCUGCUGCUGAACAGUGACCCACUCCCCCUAGGAAACCACAAGAGGCAACCCAUGCUUUUUGGUCAACUGUGGGUCUGGGUGGAAGAGACUGGAAGGAACAUGAACACAUCUAUCAAUUGAGGGGAAAUGUAUUCUACAACCACACAUUCCACAAAUGCUCAUUGAAAUUCAACUUUGCUAGGCUGGAUUUAUCAGAAUAGAAGUCAAAGGAUACCAAUGCACUAGGUAAGUGUGGCAGACAGACUCUUAGGGUGAUGCCCAUGGUCCCCGCCUCUUGGUAUAUAUGCCUCUAUGUAACUCCUUCCUAUGACUUGCUUCUAACUAACUGAUUAUGGCACAGAUGAUGGGAUGUACAUGAUCACACACAUGUAUAUACGUACAUAAGAUGGCAAUGUCUGUCUUACAAAGAGACUCUGCUCACUUUCUGGAUUUGAUGAAAGGAGAUCCAAGUGGCAAGGACCUGAGGAUGUCCUCUAGGAACUGAGAAUGACUUCCAACUAAAAGCCAAGAAGAAAAUGAGUUGGGCCCUCGAUCCUGCAACCACAAGGAAAUGAAUUCUGCCAACAAUCUGAGUGAUUGUGGAAGUAAAUUCUUCCCCAGUCUAACAUUCAGUCUGACCUGCCAGAGAAUUCUCCUGGGGAGGAGUAUCAAAUUGGUUCUCUUUUCCUACUUUACACAAGAAAGACAUCCCUCCCAUCCAUCCCCAGCUCCUGGCAACCACUAAACUGCUUUCACAGAGUUAAUUCUUACUGCAAGGCAGGAAGGUAGUGGGUCAUGAGGGAGCCUUGCUUGGUGCCAAAUAUGUUCAGCUUGAAUCCUCACAG
This is a long non-coding RNA of Choloepus didactylus (southern two-toed sloth), 1078 nucleotides long. RefSeq lists it as uncharacterized. Lineage: Eukaryota; Metazoa; Chordata; Mammalia; Pilosa; Megalonychidae. The transcript has 4 exons. The record is from RefSeq and is a predicted model, not a curated record.